Molecule: long non-coding RNA, 1657 nt
Filed under: Marmota monax (woodchuck)
Lineage: Eukaryota; Metazoa; Chordata; Mammalia; Rodentia; Sciuridae
Source: RNAcentral
AAGGAGUCUUGCAUGGAGUUGCCUAUCUCUUGUUUCUCCUACUAACAGCCAACUUCUUCUUCUUCUUUUUUUAUAUAUUUAUUUUUUAGUUGUAACUGGACACAAUAUCUUCAUUUCUAUUUAUUUUUAUGUGGUGCUGAGGAUCGAACCCAGGGCCCUGCACAUGCUAAGUGAGCGCUCUACUGCUGAGCCACAAUCCCAGCCCCAACAGCCAACUUCUUAUGAUUACCUUCUCACUAGUCAUAUAAUCUAAUACCUCCGUAUUCUCACAUCCAACUCCCCAAACCCCCUUCCACCAUCAGAAACUGUAAACCAUUACGCAAACCUAUUGACUAUAUGGUAGAAGAUAACUUAUAAUUUCUAAUUAUAGUGACAAAACUGUAAAUGUAAAAAUGGAAGCUAACUCAUAUAUGGCUGCAUGUUGGGUACAUUGAGUGCUGUAAUAUUGAUCUCUCUUAAAAGUGAGGUAACCUAUAGGGACUCUAUAAGACAAUAGGGCAGAAGCUGUAAUACCGUGGAUCUACACUGCAAGAGAGGAAGACACAUAGACAUUAUGAAAAAACAAGGGAGGAAAGUGCCCUUAACAAACCAAGACACUACAACAAGAGGAUCCAUAGAUAGCGCAGAUGGUGAAAUGUCAGAUAAGGAGUUCAGAAUAUACAUAACUGAAAUGAUUUGGGAAUUAAGAACAACCUAAGUGAGCAAAUACAGGCAAAAAUCAAUCACUCCAACAAAGAGAAGAGAACAAAUACAGGCGACCAUUGAUCACACCAACAAAGAGAUAAGAGAACAAAUGCAGGUUGCAAAAGAUUACUUCAAGAAAGAGAGAUACUAAAAAACAAGUAAGCAAACAAACAGACAAACAAACAAAACCAAACAGAAAUCCUUGAAAUGAAAGAAACAAUAAGCCAAUUUAAAAAACUCAAUAGAUAGUAUCACCAAUAGACUAGAUCACUUGGAUAACAGGACCUCAGACAAUAAAGACAAAAUGCACAAUCUUGAAAAUAAAGUUGACAUCACAGUGAAGAUGGUAAGAAACCAUGAACAGAAUAUCCAAGAAUUAUGGGACACCAUCAAAGGACCAAAUUUAAGAUUUAUUGGGUUGAGGAAGGUUCCAGAGAUUGAAAUCAAAGGAAUGCACAAUCUCUUCAAUGAAAUAAUAUCAGAAAAUUUCCCAAGCAUGAAGAAAGAACUGGAAAAUCAAAUGCAAGAGGCCUAUGGGACACCACAUGUACAAAAUUAUAACAGAUCUACACCAAGACACUUUAUAAUGAAAAUGUCUAGCAUACAGAAUAAGGAUAGAAUUGUAAAGGCUGCAAGAGAGAAAAAUCAGAUUACCUAUAAGGGAAGACCAAUUCAGAUCUCAGCAGAUUUUUCAACCCAGACUCUCAACGCCAGGAGAUCAUGGAACAACAUAACAUAUACCAAGCUCCAAAAGAUAAUGGAUGCCAACCAAGAAUCUUAUAUCCAGUGAAAUUAAGCUUCAAAAUUGACGAUGAAAUAAAAACCUUCCAUGAUAAACAAAAGCUAAAAGAAUUUAGAGCAAGAAAGCCUGCAUUACAGAACAUUCUUGGCAAAAUAUUCCAUGAGGAGGAAGUGAAAAACAAUGAAAAUCUCUAAAGGGAAGAAAUACAAUAAAGGAAAAGCCAACCAAAGG